GAUGAACGCUGGCGGCGUGCCUAAUACAUGCAAGUCGAGCGAACGGACGAGGAGCUUGCUCCUCUGACGUUAGCGGCGGACGGGUGAGUAACACGUGGAUAACCUACCUAUAAGACUGGGAUAACUUCGGGAAACCGGAGCUAAUACCGGAUAAUAUAUUGAACCGCAUGGUUCAAUAGUGAAAGACGGUUUUGCUGUCACUUAUAGAUGGAUCCGCGCCGCAUUAGCUAGUUGGUAAGGUAAUGGCUUACCAAGGCAACGAUGCGUAGCCGACCUGAGAGGGUGAUCGGCCACACUGGAACUGAGACACGGUCCAGACUCCUACGGGAGGCAGCAGUAGGGAAUCUUCCGCAAUGGGCGAAAGCUUGACGGAGCAACGCCGCGUGAGUGAUGAAGGUCUUCGGAUCGUAAAACUCUGUUAUUAGGGAAGAACAAAUGUGUAAGUAACUAUGCACGUCUUGACGGUACCUAAUCAGAAAGCCACGGCUAACUACGUG
Molecule: ribosomal RNA, 497 nt
Filed under: uncultured bacterium
Lineage: Bacteria
Description: partial 16S ribosomal RNA
Rfam family: Bacterial small subunit ribosomal RNA
Source: RNAcentral